Molecule: long non-coding RNA, 900 nt
Organism: Sinocyclocheilus rhinocerous
Lineage: Eukaryota; Metazoa; Chordata; Actinopteri; Cypriniformes; Cyprinidae
Exons: 3
Source: RefSeq, a predicted model, not a curated record
GUAGCAGCACCGCUUCUAUGCUCCUCUUAUCGCUCUGAUCUCACUGUCCAUCUCACUGCAGGUCGCUGUUGGCCUCCUACUCAUCUUCAUUGUGAAGUAUGACCUGAAUGAUGUUAAGAUACAGCCGAGGCUAAACACAAUGAAUGACGCGGCAACUGUAUUUGUGUUCUUUACUGUUCUUAUCAACAUCUUCAUCACAGCAUUGGGAUUUGAGUCUGGAGGGGGCAGUGUAAUAUUUGAAACUGCACUCGCUCAGACCAGAUCUUUAAACUUCACUGAAGAUGUAUAAGCACAUAAGAAUUGGCACUCAACUUGCCUUUUGUGUCAUCAAAAUGUAUUUCCCGAACAAAUUACUGGACAUUGUCCUCCAUAUCAUAUCUAAGCAAAAAAUCUCAUGUGAUAUUUUGUAAUGUUUAGACAGCACAUUUUAACAAACUAUGAAUUUGUAAUUUUCUCAGUUUAUGUGAAGACGGCAGGCAUUAAGGACACCUUUUUAUUUAAGGAACACAAUAGAGGUUAUAGUGAAAUGUUUGUGAAUUUGUUUUGGUUAUUGCAUCUUUAAAGCAACACUACUGAAAACCUCAUUGAGAUAAAGCAUAUUUUUGUCCAGAAAUAUUUUGAAUAAUUUAAUCAAGCUGUUUCAUACAGUACAUUUGACAUUUGAUUUGUUCCAGCAAAAUAUUUGGGAUGUAUUGAUAAACCAGUUUGCAUAUUGUCUAAGAUGAAGAAGUAAAAACAGUACAUAUACCUGAAAUAUCCUCCUGUACUGACCACCAGGAAAAAAAAGCCAUGACAUUGUCAUUUCAUGUCAUUUAUUGUUUAGAACAUAAGAAAAAAAGGAAAAAUAAAAUGUUUGAAAAAUUAUAUUUUAUUCAUAUGUUAUGCUAUGUCCUCUAUAGU